GAGAGUUCAAGAACUUGGAAUCAAUUGGUGUCCCCUACCCAAAAAGCCAAUCAAUGGGGAUGUAUGCAAGUUUGUGGGAUGCAGAUGACUGGGCGACAAGAGGAGGGCUUGUGAAGACAGACUGGAGCAAAGCACCCUUCACUGCAUCAUUCAGAAACUUCAAUUCCAAUGCUUGUAUUUGGUCUAAUGGAGCAUCUUCUUGCAGUAACUCCGCUAACCAGUGGUCCUCUGAAGAGCUUGAUUCUACAAGUCAAAAGCUGCUAAAAUGGGUUCAGAAAAAUUACAUGGUCUACAACUACUGCACAGACACAAAGAGAUUCCCUCAGGGCCUUCCUCAGGAAUGCACUGUCAUCAACAAGAAUUAGAAAUUCAGGACUUGCACAUAUGGAUCAAUGGUUCCAGAGUUUAGUUUGUUCUAGUAACUUCCAAUUGCAAAGUUUACAUUCUUUUGUCUGACAAGAUUGUGCCAAUAAUGCAAGAAAAAUCGCAGUCCAUAAUGUAUAUAAAUAUAUUUCCAUAUAUGAAAAAGG
Molecule: unclassified non-coding RNA, 530 nt
Filed under: Hevea brasiliensis (rubber tree)
Lineage: Eukaryota; Viridiplantae; Streptophyta; Magnoliopsida; Malpighiales; Euphorbiaceae
Source: RNAcentral